This 254-nucleotide ribosomal RNA is filed under the name uncultured bacterium. RNAcentral's name for it is "partial 16S ribosomal RNA". It matches the Rfam family "Bacterial small subunit ribosomal RNA", at positions 524 to 776 of the family's 1533-position model. The record is from RNAcentral.
UACAGAGGGUGCGAGCGUUGUUCGGAAUUAUUGGGCGUAAAGGGCGCGUAGGCGGUGCGGUAAGUCACCUGUGAAAUCUCCUGGCUCAACUUGGGAGCUUGCAGGCGAAACUGCCGUGCUGGAGUGUGAGAGAGGUGCGUGGAAUUCCUGGUGUAGCGGUGAAAUGCGUAGAUAUCAGGAGGAACACCUGUGGCGAAAGCGGCGCACUGGACCACAACUGACGCUGAGGCGCGAAAGCUAGGGGAGCAAACAGG